GAUGAACGCUGGCGGCGUGCUUAAUACAUGCAAGUCGAACGCUGGAGAGCUAGCUUGCUCGGACGAAGGAGUGGCGAACGGGUGAGUAAUACAUAAGCAACCUACCCACGAAGACAGGGCAAAUCACUGGAAACGAGGACUAAUACCGGACAGGUAAUCGGAAGGCAUCUUCUGGUUAUUAAAGGUGACAAACACUGUUGGAUGGGCUUAUUGCGCAUUAGUUAGUUGGUGAGGUAACGGCCCACCAAGACGAUGAAGCCUAGCCGGGCUGAGGGGGUGAACGGCCACGUCGGGACCGAGGCACAGCCCACUAUGCUACGGGGCGCAGCGGUAGUGUAGUCUCUGCGCGGGAGCCAACCCUGACCGAGCCACGCGGCGUGAGAGGAGCCUGCCUUCGUGUUGUAAAGCUCUGUUGUAAGGGAAGAACGGUAGAUAGACAAGAUCUAAGUGACGGUACCUUACCAGAAAGCCACGGCUAACUACGUG
Molecule: ribosomal RNA, 486 nt
Filed under: uncultured bacterium
Lineage: Bacteria
Description: partial 16S ribosomal RNA
Rfam family: Bacterial small subunit ribosomal RNA
Source: RNAcentral